RNAcentral lists this long non-coding RNA (536 nucleotides) under Helianthus annuus (common sunflower). The record is from RNAcentral. Lineage: Eukaryota; Viridiplantae; Streptophyta; Magnoliopsida; Asterales; Asteraceae.
AGUGGUUGGGGAAAGACUUGAUGUUCCUUGUGACCCAGGUUCGACUCCCACUCUCUCCAUUAUUUUCUGAGGCAUAAGGGCGAAUACGGGUGGCAUCGGUUCGUCUUGGAUGAGAGGCGAUGUUUUUAUCGAUUAUUCCACUGUCGUGCAUUUGGGCCGGUGGAGGUCGGGUUUUCACGCAUCUGGAAAAGUUAAUGCUUGGUCACAUGAGAGGUAUAUGCGGGGGGCAUUUUGGUGAUUAACUGUUGAUGCACUUUUGUGUGGAUGUGGCUCGGUUCGGUUCGGUUCAAGAUCGACGUCACGACAUUCCUCCGUCGUACGACUAGAAGAACGACACAAGAAGACACGAGAACGGCGCGUAGAAGGAUUUUGACAGCAUCAUGAUGUCAUCAUGACAUAAAUAUACUAUUUCAAAAUAGAAAUAUAAAAUGGAAAUAGAAUUCCUUCUUUAGCAUAUAUGUAUCUAGAUAGAAAGUUGGAAUUCAAACAGGCUAUGAUGAAAUCGAAAUAGAAAUUUAAUAGUCUAUUUCGGUUAU